AUAUGCUGGAGGAAGGUGGGGAUGACGUCAAGUCCUCAUGGCCCUUAUGGGUUGGGCUACACACGUGCUACAAUGGCGGCGACAGAGGGCAGCGACCCCGCGAGGGUGAGCUAAUCUCCAAAAGCCGUCUCAGUUCGGAUUGUUCUCUGCAACUCGAGAGCAUGAAGGUGGAAUCGCUAGUAAUCGCAGAACAGCAUGCUGCGGUGAAUACGUUCCCGGGCCUUGUACACACCGCCCGUCACAUCAUGGGAGUUGGCUUUACCCGAAGGUGGUGCGCUAACCUAGCAAUAGGAGGCAGCCAACCACGGUAAGGUCAGCGACUGGGAUGAAGUCGGAACAAGGUAGCCCUAGGGGAACCUGGGGCUGGA
Molecule: ribosomal RNA, 368 nt
Filed under: Conticribra weissflogii
Lineage: Eukaryota; Bacillariophyta; Thalassiosirophyceae; Thalassiosirales; Thalassiosiraceae
Description: partial Bacterial small subunit ribosomal RNA
Rfam family: Bacterial small subunit ribosomal RNA
Source: RNAcentral